ACUCCUGCGGGAGGCAGCAGUGGGGAAUAUUGCACAAUGGGCGCAAGCCUGAUGCAGCCAUGCCGCGUGUAUGAAGAAGGCCUUCGGGUUGUAAAGUACUUUCAGCGGGGAGGAAGGCAAUACGGUUAAUAACCGUGUUGAUUGACGUUACCCGCAGAAGAAGCACCGGCUAACUCCGUGCCAGCAGCCGCGGUAAUACGGAGGGUGCAAGCGUUAAUCGGAAUUACUGGGCGUAAAGCGCACGCAGGCGGUCUGUCAAGUCGGAUGUGAAAUCCCCGGGCUCAACCUGGGAACUGCAUUCGAAACUGGCAGGCUUGAGUCUUGUAGAGGGGGGUAGAAUUCCAGGUGUAGCGGUGAAAUGCGUAGAGAUCUGGAGGAAUACCGGUGGCGAAGGCGGCCCCCUGGACAAAGACUGACGCUCAGGUGCGAAAGCGUGGGGAGCAAACAGGAUUAGAUACCCCUGUAGUCCCAU
Molecule: ribosomal RNA, 472 nt
Filed under: uncultured organism
Description: partial 16S ribosomal RNA
Rfam family: Bacterial small subunit ribosomal RNA
Source: RNAcentral